UGUUAACAAGCAGGCGCCGGUCUCAGCCCAGGCAAGGGAUCACCGCGUCUCGUUGCCGUCGUAGGAGCCGAGAACGAGAGGCCCAGACCUGCCGACGCCUGGCCAGCUCUGUCCGAGCAUGGACAUACCUGGCUCUAAACCCUUGCCUCCGCCUGGGUCAGCGUAAGGACAUCCUGUGACUUUCUCGAGAAAAAAAACGCAGCGUGGAAAUGAACGGUGGAACGGGCUUUCGACUCCAGAUAUGCAAGAACUGGAACCAAGAGGGCGCCUGGGGCGUGGAAGGCGCUGGGUUCGACGUGACCUCCCUCUCCGAACGAACGGG
RNAcentral lists this long non-coding RNA (322 nucleotides) under Ornithorhynchus anatinus (platypus). Its description in RNAcentral is "lncRNA (ENSOANG00000037993.1)". Lineage: Eukaryota; Metazoa; Chordata; Mammalia; Monotremata; Ornithorhynchidae. The record is from RNAcentral.